RNAcentral lists this ribosomal RNA (206 nucleotides) under uncultured bacterium. RNAcentral's name for it is "partial 16S ribosomal RNA". It matches the Rfam family "Bacterial small subunit ribosomal RNA", at positions 568 to 774 of the family's 1533-position model. The record is from RNAcentral.
CACGCAGGCGGUUUGUUAAGUCAGAUGUGAAAUCCCCGGGCUCAACCUGGGAACUGCAUCUGAUACUGGCAAGCUUGAGUCUCGUAGAGGGGGUAGAAUUCCAGGUGUAGCGGUGAAAUGCGUAGAGAUCUGGAGGAAUACCGGUGGCGAAGGCGGCCCCUCGGACGAAGACUGACGCUCAGGUGCGAAAGCGUGGGGAGCAAACA